Molecule: ribosomal RNA, 253 nt
Filed under: uncultured bacterium
Lineage: Bacteria
Description: partial 16S ribosomal RNA
Rfam family: Bacterial small subunit ribosomal RNA
Source: RNAcentral
GACGAGCCACACAAACGUUAUUCGGAAUUACUGGGCUUAAAGGGUGCGUAGGCUGCGCGGAAAGUUGGGUGUGAAAUCCCUCGGCUCAACCGAGGAACUGCGCCCAAAACUGCCGUGCUCGAGGAAGAUAGAGGUAAGCGGAACUUACGGUGGAGCGGUGAAAUGCGUUGAUAUCGUAAGGAACACCUGUGGCGAAGGCGGAUCUCUGGGCCAUUACUGACGCUGAGGAGCGAAAGCGUGGGGAGCGAACAGG